Molecule: non-coding RNA, 55 nt
Filed under: Clostridium massiliamazoniense
Lineage: Bacteria; Bacillati; Bacillota; Clostridia; Eubacteriales; Clostridiaceae
Description: Fluoride riboswitch
Rfam family: Fluoride riboswitch aptamer (crcB RNA motif)
Source: RNAcentral
UAACCGGUUAUGGGGUUAACCGUAAACCGCAGAAAUGCUGAUGACUCCUACUUUU